Molecule: long non-coding RNA, 204 nt
Filed under: Amphimedon queenslandica
Lineage: Eukaryota; Metazoa; Porifera; Demospongiae; Haplosclerida; Niphatidae
Description: uncharacterized LOC109587917, transcript variant X1
Source: RNAcentral
CUCAGCUUUUAUCAAAAUCUGGUAAGCCAACGUUUAUGUGUUUUCAUGUGAUUUCUUCAUGUCAAGAGGUUUCAGUGAAUUACCUCAAGUUACUGUUAAUGGAGUGGUACUGGAACUGGAGGAUGAAGAUCUUCAGAAUGCAAUAGUUAAUGAGUUCAGCAUCAAACAUCAGAAAUACAGCAACUAGUUUAUAGAGUAAGUGAU